AUUGAACGCUGGCGGAAUGCUUUACACAUGCAAGUCGAACGGCAGCACGGACUUCGGUCUGGUGGCGAGUGGCGAACGGGUGAGUAAUAUAUCGGAACGUGCCCAGUCGUGGGGGAUAACGUAGUGAAAAUUACGCUAAUACCGCAUACGAUCUAAGGAUGAAAGCGGGGGAUCGCAAGACCUCGCGCGAUUGGAGCGGCCGAUAUCAGAUUAGGUAGUGGUGAGGUAAAGGCUCACCAAGCCAACGAUCUGUAGCUGGUCUGAGAGGACGACCAGCCACACUGGAACUGAGACACGGUCCAGACUCCUACGGGAGGCAGCAGU
This 324-nucleotide ribosomal RNA is filed under the name uncultured bacterium. RNAcentral describes it as "bacterial SSU rRNA". It matches the Rfam family "Bacterial small subunit ribosomal RNA", at positions 30 to 355 of the family's 1533-position model. The record is from RNAcentral.